AGAAAAAUUAAAGAUUUUAAUUGAGUACAUCAUUGGAUUUGAAUUGAGAUGUAAAAAAGAUGAUGAAUCUAGCACCAAGUUCUCUUUUUGCCUCCAAUCUUAAUUUCAAAUUCUAGCUCUUGAUUUCUUGUUUUCCUCCAUUUUGAUUUUUUCUCGAAUUUCCAAGUUGUAUCUUGUGCCUCUCAAUGUGUAGAAUCCCUUUUUAAGUGUCAUCAUUCUUCUAUUUAUACUCCCCUUCACUUUUUUUCUUUCUUUUUUUUUUUUUUCCAAAUUUGAAGUCUUUCUAUGCUUUUCACAAGCUAAAAUGGUGCAAAAUCUAAAAUGUGUAGCGCGGCACUCUACACGGCUGCGUAGCACUUCUAGGUAACACCUAGGCGUUGGAGAGAUGAAACCUAGAUGCUACCUUUUUGCUCCUUUGCUGGUCCUUCGUGAUGCCUGGCGCCAUGUUAGUGUCUCUAAUAGCCUUUUGUAGCGCCUGGGUGCCAUGUUGCUGCUAUGGAUUUCUGUUUGGCAUUCCCAGUAUGGUGCUUGAGCCCUUGCUUUCUACUUAUUUUCCUUAGUUUUUUGCUUGUUUCUUAACUUUAACAUCCCUUUUACACCACUUCACCCACCUAUAAAACAACUCUAGCAAAUAUAUCAAAAUAUUCUGUACUCAUAAGAUCUCGCAAAUAAUCAAAUUAAAAUUGUGUAAACUUGUAAGUAAAAACACACUCGUUAUGCAGCCUCUCGAGGCUGUACUAAAGAAACGAGAGAGCAUCUUUGUGUCUUUCUUAUGAGACUCUAGGUAUUAGGGGAUGUUUACAUUGGAAGAGGUGGAAGGAGAUUUGCCAUCCAAUAUAACGGUAGGCUUCAGGAGAUUAUAGGAUAUAGUGGACACCUUCUUUAUGAAGCUCUAUUAGUUUUUCUAACCAUAGAGAUUGCUUUGGGCUCAAUUUUUAUUGGGCGAAAACUGUAUGGGAAUACACCUAUUUAGCCUUCUUCGUCUAGAAAUAAUUGAAGCUCAUCAAGUCAUAGACUGAGUCACACAUUACGUGGCACCUUAGUUCUAGCCAGGUAUUCUUUUAGCAUAAUUGUUGGUUGGACACUACCUUGGCGUCUUUAAUCCUAAACAAGCAACAUAUAUCUAAUAGGGUGCAAGAUUUCUUUGAUAGUACUGGAUUGAACAUUGGAUGAUUAUUGUAGGUUCUUCCACCAUUCAUGGAGUAGAUCGAAACUAUUCCUUCAUGUACUCACGCCCCAAAUCGUAUUGUUUGGAAAGAUACCUCUGGUGGUAACUUUACUACCAAGUUAGUUGGCAGUUAGGUUGUUCGGGUUGUCAGCCUUAGGACUCAUGCCGUUUGCUGUGGACCACCAUAUUACCUACCACUAUUUCUUUCUUCUACUAGAGACUAUGGCAAGAUAUAAUUUCAGUGAAC
This 1415-nucleotide long non-coding RNA is filed under the name Olea europaea (common olive). RNAcentral describes it as "long non-coding RNA (OEUR_LNC004371)". Lineage: Eukaryota; Viridiplantae; Streptophyta; Magnoliopsida; Lamiales; Oleaceae. The record is from RNAcentral.